AAAGCUUGCUUUUGAUGGGCAUCGACCGGCGCACGGGUGAGUAACGCGUAUCCAACCUGCCCACCACUUGGGGAUAACCUUGCGAAAGUAAGACUAAUACCCAAUGAUAUCUCUAGAAGACAUCUGAAGGAGAUUAAAGAUUUAUCGGUGAUGGAUGGGGAUGCGUCUGAUUAGCUUGUUGGCGGGGUAACGGCCCACCAAGGCUACGAUCAGUAGGGGUUCUGAGAGGAAGGUCCCCCACAUUGGAACUGAGACACGGUCCAAACUCCUACGGGAGGCAGCAGUGAGGAAUAUUGGUCAAUGGACGAGAGUCUGAACCAGC
Molecule: ribosomal RNA, 322 nt
Filed under: uncultured bacterium
Lineage: Bacteria
Description: bacterial SSU rRNA
Rfam family: Bacterial small subunit ribosomal RNA
Source: RNAcentral